UGUGUUGUUGCAGCCGGUGUUGUACCGUUAUUCAUUUUUGAUGCUUCUUUCUUUUUAAAAGCAAAAUUUUAUUCUGUGAAGUGUUUUUGAAAGUGCAAGUUGUGAAUAUUGAAAAAAGUUAAUAAAAUAAAAUAAAUUAAUAAAAUAAGAAUAUAGUAAGUGUUGUGUGUUAAAUAAGUUAAAUAAAAUGUCAGGAUUCAGUAGGAGAAAUUUAAGACGAUUAAAGAAAGUGGAAGCAGACAAUUUAAAAAGAAAGUACAAUUGAGGACGGACUGUUUGGAAAACAAUGAUAUUGUACUAAAUGAGCAGAUUCCAUGCAUUCCAAAAUUGUAGAAGAUUUUGGAAAAUAUGUUAAUAUCAUAAAAAUUAUAAUUUGACCAGAUGGCCUUAUUAAAAUAAGGCCAGAUGGUACCCGAAAUAAAAAGGCGUUUAAGGAAUUUAAACUUUUAAAUAUGGCCAUUUUCGAAGCUGUCCGAUGUGAAGGAUUCUAUGAACAAGAUUACGCCAAAAAAAUUAGAAAUUGUUUCAAAUUCCAUAAGGCCAGACACUUCCGAACAAUGUCCUACAAUAAAAAAAUACUGGAAAAUUUUAUUUUUUUUUCUUUAGUUUAAACUUUGUUUCU
Musca domestica (house fly) is the source of this 622-nucleotide long non-coding RNA. RefSeq lists it as uncharacterized. The record is from RefSeq and is a predicted model, not a curated record. Lineage: Eukaryota; Metazoa; Arthropoda; Insecta; Diptera; Muscidae. The transcript is spliced from 3 exons.